GUCCGGUUAGCUCAGCUGGGAGAGCAUAUGCCCUACAAGCAUGGGGUCGGCGGUUCGAGUCCGUCACCGGACACCA
This 76-nucleotide transfer RNA is filed under the name Flavonifractor sp. An4. RNAcentral describes it as "tRNA-Val". It matches the Rfam family "tRNA". From Rfam's summary of the family: Transfer RNA (tRNA) molecules are approximately 80 nucleotides in length. Lineage: Bacteria; Bacillati; Bacillota; Clostridia; Eubacteriales; Oscillospiraceae. The record is from RNAcentral.